RNAcentral lists this ribosomal RNA (504 nucleotides) under uncultured delta proteobacterium. RNAcentral's name for it is "bacterial SSU rRNA". It matches the Rfam family "Bacterial small subunit ribosomal RNA", at positions 53 to 564 of the family's 1533-position model. The record is from RNAcentral. RNAcentral also lists the same sequence under 1 other name. Lineage: Bacteria; Deltaproteobacteria.
ACAUGCUAGUCGAACGAGAAAGUCCCUUCGGGGGCGAGUAAAGUGGCGCAAGGGUGAGUAACGCGUGAAUAAUCUAUCUCUGAAUUAAGAAUAACUCUUNGAAAGAGGGGCUAAUGCUUUAUAAGACCACAUCUGGACACCGGAUGGGGCCAAAGGUUGCGCAAGCUUCCGUUCAGAGGUGAGUUCGCGUACCAUUAGCUUGUUGGUAGGGUAAAGGCCUACCAAGGCGAGGAUGGUUAGCCGGCCUGAGAGGGUGAUCGGCCACACUGGAACUGAGACACGGUCCANACUCCUACNGGAGGCAGCAGUGGGGAAUUUUGCGCAAUGGGGGAAACCCUGACGCAGCAACNCCGCGUGAGCGAUGAAGGCUUUCGGGUUGUAAAGCUCUGUCGGGCAGGAAGAAAAAAAUGACGGUACUGCCANAGGAACCCCGGCUNACUCCGUGCCAGCAACCGCCGGUAAUACCGAGGGGGCAAGCGUUUGUUCGGAAUUAUUGGGCGUAAA